This 198-nucleotide ribosomal RNA is filed under the name uncultured bacterium. RNAcentral describes it as "partial 16S ribosomal RNA". It matches the Rfam family "Bacterial small subunit ribosomal RNA", at positions 328 to 539 of the family's 1533-position model. The record is from RNAcentral.
ACGCUCGACACCUACGGGGGCAGCAGUCGGGAAUAUUGCGCAAUGGAGGAAACUCUGACGCAGUGACGCCGCGUGCAGGAAGAAGGUUUUCGGAUUGUAAACUGCUUUAGACAGGGAAGAGGAAGGACAGUACCUGUAGAAUAAGCUCCGGCUAACUACGUGCAAGCAGCCGCGGUAAUCUGAGCGGGCUGGCAAGGC